AAUAUUGGACAAUGGGCGCAAGCCUGAUCCAGCCAUGCCGCGUGAGUGAUGACGGCCUUAGGGUUGUAAAGCUCUUUCGCCAGGGACGAUAAGUACCGUACCUGGAUAAGAAGACCCGGCUAACCUCGGGCCAGCCGCCGCGGUAAUACGAAGGGGGCUAGCGUUGUUCGGAAUCACUGGGCGUAAAGCGCACGUAGGCGGAUCUUUAAGUCAGGGGUGAAAUCCCGGGGCUCAACCCCGGAAGUGCCUUUGAAACUGGUGGUCUUGAGUACGGGAGAAGUGAGUGGAAUUCCGGGUGUAGGGGUGAAAUUCGUAGAUAUUCGGAGGAACACCAGUGGCGAAGGCGGCUCGCUGGGCCGAUACUGAAACGGAGGCGCGAAAGCGGGGGGAGCAAACGGG
This 399-nucleotide ribosomal RNA is filed under the name uncultured bacterium. Its description in RNAcentral is "partial 16S ribosomal RNA". It matches the Rfam family "Bacterial small subunit ribosomal RNA", at positions 360 to 776 of the family's 1533-position model. The record is from RNAcentral.